GAGGAAUAUUGGUCAAUGGGGGCAACCCUGAACCAGCCAAGUCGCGUGAAGGAUGAAGGUCUUAUGGAUUGUAAACUUCUUUUACACGGGAAUAAAGCGGGGGACGUGUCCCUCUUUGCAUGUACCGUGUGAAUAAGGAUCGGCUAACUCCGUGCCAGCAGCCGCGGUAAUACGGAGGAUCCGAGCGUUAUCCGGAUUUAUUGGGUUUAAAGGGUGCGCAGGCGGGAUGUUAAGUCGGCGGUGAAAUUUUGCAGCUCAACUGUAAAAGUGCCUUCGAUACGGGCCUUCUUGAGUGUGGAUGAAGUAGGCGGAAUUUGUGGUGUAGCGUUGAAAUGCUUAGAUAUCACGAGGAACUCCGAUUGCGCAGGCAGCUUACUAAGCCACAACUGACGCUCAUGCACGAAGGCGUGGGGAUCAAACA
This 421-nucleotide ribosomal RNA is filed under the name uncultured bacterium. RNAcentral's name for it is "bacterial SSU rRNA". It matches the Rfam family "Bacterial small subunit ribosomal RNA", at positions 356 to 774 of the family's 1533-position model. The record is from RNAcentral.